Molecule: long non-coding RNA, 631 nt
Filed under: Strigops habroptila (Kakapo)
Lineage: Eukaryota; Metazoa; Chordata; Aves; Psittaciformes; Psittacidae
Description: lncRNA (ENSSHBG00005002324.1)
Source: RNAcentral
UUUGCUCACAGUGCUUCUGGCAAGUAGGAAGUUCUUUUCCGAACUUGAAGCAAAAAGAUGGCUCUACCUCAAAAUGGAAGCCAAAAUGGAUACAUGCUCACUGGUUAUGAAGAAAUCCACAGAGAAGGCACAGAACAAAAAGAAGAUAUACAGCAUGGAGGUUGGUUAUGCCUGAAGCACAUGGGAGCUCCAGAGAGCAGGACAUCUCCUAGGCUGCAAAGGAUCAGCUUCCCUUAGUCUUUGACUGGCCUUGGUGUAGGGACAUCCUGAGGCUAAGACCCUGCAGUGUAAUGGUAUGCCAUAUGGACUUUGCCAUGGAAGCAUUAACAACAGCAAAGAGCGUUUCUCGGAAAUAGCGAAAAUAGGAGGAGGACUCCAACAACUCAGGAAGAGAACUGGGAAAGGAGGGUUAGUUAGCCUGAAGUCUGCAUCUCUAGAAGACCCCCUUUGCAUCCACGAAAGAUAAAGCUUCAAAGAUAAAGCUCCUGAAGGUGUCUAAGCUGGAUCCUGCCACAGACAAGAUGUGGGAACUGUGCUGAACCUUACUGGAGUUCUGCUUCUGAAGCUCAAAUGGAAUUGAAAAUGUGUAUGUUGAUCAAAGGUGAUUAUGGCUGAAUAAAAAUUGUAUAUC